Molecule: ribosomal RNA, 997 nt
Filed under: human oral metagenome
Description: bacterial LSU rRNA
Rfam family: Bacterial large subunit ribosomal RNA
Source: RNAcentral
CCGUAACUAUAACGGUCCUAAGGUAGCGAAAUUCCUUGUCGGGUAAGUUCCGACCCGCACGAAUGGCGUAACGAUGGCCACACUGUCUCCUCCCGAGACUCAGCGAAGUUGAAGUGGUUGUGAAGAUGCAAUCUACCCGCUGCUAGACGGAAAGACCCCGUGAACCUUUACUGUAGCUUUGCAUUGGACUUUGAAGUCACUUGUGUAGGAUAGGUGGGAGGCUUUGAAGCAGAGACGCCAGUCUCUGUGGAGCCGUCCUUGAAAUACCACCCUGGUGUCUUUGAGGUUCUAACCCAGACCCGUAAUCCGGGUCGGGGACCGUGCAUGGUAGGCAGUUUGACUGGGGCGGUCUCCUCCCAAAGAGUAACGGAGGAGUUCGAAGGUUACCUAGGUCCGGUCGGAAAUCGGACUGAUAGUGCAAUGGCAAAAGGUAGCUUAACUGCGAGACCGACAAGUCGAGCAGGUGCGAAAGCAGGACAUAGUGAUCCGGUGGUUCUGUAUGGAAGGGCCAUCGCUCAACGGAUAAAAGGUACUCCGGGGAUAACAGGCUGAUUCCGCCCAAGAGUUCAUAUCGACGGCGGAGUUUGGCACCUCGAUGUCGGCUCAUCACAUCCUGGGGCUGUAGUCGGUCCCAAGGGUAUGGCUGUUCGCCAUUUAAAGUGGUACGUGAGCUGGGUUUAAAACGUCGUGAGACAGUUUGGUCCCUAUCUGCAGUGGGCGUUGGAAGUUUGACGGGGGCUGCUCCUAGUACGAGAGGACCGGAGUGGACGAACCUCUGGUGUACCGGUUGUAACGCCAGUUGCAUAGCCGGGUAGCUAAGUUCGGAAGAGAUAAGCGCUGAAAGCAUCUAAGCGCGAAACUCGCCUGAAGAUGAGACUUCCCUUGUGGUUUAACCACACUAAAGAGUCGUUCGAGACCAGGACGUUGAUAGGUGGGGUGUGGAAGCGCGGUAACGCGUGAAGCUAACCCAUACUAAUUGCUCGUGAGGCUUGACUCU